Molecule: non-coding RNA, 1324 nt
Organism: Elaeis guineensis (African oil palm)
Lineage: Eukaryota; Viridiplantae; Streptophyta; Magnoliopsida; Arecales; Arecaceae
Source: RefSeq, a predicted model, not a curated record
UUUUUUUUUUUUUUUUUUGGUCAUAUAGAAGUAUAUAUGGUAAGCUUCAUUCCAUAAAUUGGGAUAUUUUGUUGCUGCAUUGUGAACUACUGAGAGAAAAAUCACUCCAAGAUGUUUGUUUGAAGUUUCUCCAUGGAUGGAUGGAAUGAAUUGUGUUAUAUGUUAGGUUCAUUGGCUUGAUGCUUUCAGGUCCACAUUUCCCUGGGUUAUUGCUCUUGAUCUCUUGCUGUUCUAAUGCUCUAGACAAAAAAGUCCAUCCUUUUGGACUAAUUUUUCUUCUGGGUGCAAGGAGGAAAGCUGACCGGGAUUUGAGUUAGGUGAUUGUGAGUUUCUUAGUAGUCCCACAGGCAUUUCUGUUUUCUGAGUACCAAGUUUUAAGAUCUCUUUUCAAUGAUUGUGGAUUCCUCUUUGAGUUGCUACUGUUUCUACUACCAUAGAAUGGAGUGAUCUUGAUGUGGUGUACAAAGAUUUUGCUUGGCUUUGUUUUUACUUCGACCGGACAUUGUGGGGUUGGUGAUGGUAAACUGGUAAUGAAUGAUGACUUGUUCUUUUCUAUUCUCAUUUCCUGUAGGGUUUGAUGAAAAAUUGAGAGGUACUGGCUAAAGCUGCUCCCUCUCUUCCCCUUCAUUUGGAAACAACAUCUCUCUCUUCCUGAGUCUCAGUUUUUUUUCUUCUUCCUCCUCUCCUAAUCCAGACCUGGCCAGAUGCUCAUUGGAGGGUUAGCGGCUUAAUGAGGUUAGUGAGAAAAGGACCGAAAACAUUCUUACUUAGGCAUUAGUAUCCCAUCUUAUCUUAUAUACAAAAUGCAAUCGAUCAGUACAUAUGGUACUUUUAUUGUUUUCACUUUUAAGUUCUUUUCAAUUCCACUCUACCUUCUAUGAUAUAGUGAUUGAAAUCAUGCAGUUAAGUGUCGGCAAAGUUUCUUCAUGGAGCGAGGGGUGGCUAUGGUGAAAGCGACACCUCCUCAUUUCCUGUCCUUCCCUUUUCGUGAGGCCAAUACUUGGACAACAAUCUAUCUACUACCCUUAUCUAUCUAUCUAUAAAAUAUAUAUUAGAUUAGAUGCUGGCCGGGCCCCAACAAGCCGUGACAUCUCCAUUAGUAGCGUGGGGCCCUUUGUGUGAAAAGAAAGUGCAGAGAGGGGCGCUUUUUUUCCUCCCAACUUCUACCUUUCGCUUUCCCUGGUGCUCGCUGCCAUCGUUUUCAAUCCUUCAUUUUUCUCCACCGGUUGGGAGUGGAGGGUGACCGGUCUUGGACCGGCCGGGCAGGCUUUUUCUUCCUUUCUAUUAAACAUGGGCCCAGCAAGCUUUUCCUUUCUUGUCUUUU